AUGCGCGCGCACGGCCUUUGUGCCGCGCUCCAGAUAGACGACACCAAGGGCGCGUGGGCGCGCUUCACUGCCUCUUGCGGGGUGGUCUGACUGUGCCGGACCAAACACGACUCGCUCGACCAAUGCGCCGCCGACGACUGUCAGUCGGCGACGGCGGCGGCACAGGGCGCAACGGUCUUUUUCCGCGUCGUGGCCCACAAAGGCAUCGCCGGCAGGUUGGCGGUUGAACCCGUGCGGCGGCCCGAGACCGACGGCAAACUGCACGCGACGCGCCACGCCAAACUCGGCCGGCCCAUUGUGAUCGGCCACCUCGCGCACGCCAUAGACGCGGCCCGCCGCGCGUGCAAAAGAAUCAGACAGCGCAUCCCAUGCCGGCGGCAAUGCCCGUACGGCCACACGUCCGUGUGUGCCCCGUGUCGGGCAGUCGGGCACGUCAUUGUCGCCGUCGUCGCCAUCGUCGUAUUCCCCUCGGGUGGCGUCACGGUACAUGUCGACAUUGCCGUGGCGACGGGAAUUUCGACCACCAUGGUGUACGCCGCCGUCCCACAGAUUGCCCCCAUAAUGGUAGUGGCGGCUGUCCAUGUCGCCAUGACGUCCAUCUUGCCGCCAACCAUGUCUUUGGUCAUGAUCGCCGUGAACAAACCCGUUGCGGCCAAAGGCAUUGUCGUAACCGCCGGGAUCCCAGGGACGGCGUCGAUAUGCGCUUGGUAGGCCAGGUACCGUGGCGCUCGCGGCAGUCGACGACGAUGAGGGCGCGCCGCCGAUGGGCGCGUCUUGUGGUCCAUCAUAGGCCUCGACGCGCGACAGCGGGAUCGACGCGGCGGCGGCCACGCGUUGGAGCCAGACGUCAGCACCGGCGUGCCUGGGUCCGGCGCGUGCGCACGCCUUGGCAAAGUCGCGCCACUCGCGCGUCCCGCCCGUUCCCCACAGUGCCGAAUCGACCAGGGUGGAACCGCCGACAGCACGGCCGCCGCCGAGUGCGCAUCGGGCGCCCAGGAGGCCCGGCUCAGCGGCGCCGCCCACACGGAUGGAC
This 1033-nucleotide long non-coding RNA is filed under the name Pandoravirus quercus. Its description in RNAcentral is "hypothetical ncRNA". The record is from RNAcentral.